RNAcentral lists this non-coding RNA (28 nucleotides) under Rattus norvegicus (Norway rat). Lineage: Eukaryota; Metazoa; Chordata; Mammalia; Rodentia; Muridae. The record is from RNAcentral.
UAAUGCAGAGUACUCCUGGGCCAAUCAU